Cyprinus carpio carpio is the source of this 1027-nucleotide long non-coding RNA. NCBI's taxonomy places the organism in Eukaryota, Metazoa, Chordata, Actinopteri, Cypriniformes, Cyprinidae. The record is from Ensembl.
UGCAGAUGUCACAAGGUGACGAUCUUUAGGGGCGGAACCAAAAUUCGGGAAGUUUGGUUCCGCCCGGAAGUGUUUCCGCCCGGACCGGAAAAACAGAACACCGGAAUUUCCGGUAGCGCCGUAAGAAGGAAAAUCAGGGAAUUCGAUGCACCUGUGCCUAGUUAGGGACAGCGGUUGGUGAUUGGAGGAUACGCUGGACAAGGCAGUACUUAAGGCCAAGUUAUUUCACAGUCUGGGCGCUCUUUCUGGUGUGUGUGAAGCACUGUGUUGUGCCCGUCUUGGUGCGCUGCUGGCGGCUGUCUAACUCUCUCUCUCUCUCCCUCAGGCUGGAAUUGUAUGAUUGUGAAGACAUCGCGAACCUUAAAGGUUGAGAAGUGAACGGAUUAUACGGCGAACUGAGAUGACGUGAAAAAGGGGAUUGGAAGCGGCAUUGAUGUGAGUACUAAGAGCCAGUCGAAAGUGCCCUGUAUAUUGACCUGGCGUUGUGUAGAUCUCUCCAGGAGGAGGAGGGCGGCCCUACCCCUAAUAUAGUGUGGUGGGAGAGCCGAAGGAAUACUUAUUGAAGUAGUCACAACGACGACAUCACUAGCUAGGCCGCAUAUUCCAUCGCCAGAUCCGAACCAAGCGAAGUGAAGGAAGACGGGUGUCCUUUUCGUACACUGAGUGUGGUGGGUGAGUCUUCAUGCUGUGAAAACCUAUAAUUUUGACGUGGUGCUGUAUAUUGCUGUGGGCUGCUGUGUAUUGCCGUGUGUCCUGUCAGAUAAACCCCCGCCUUCACGCACUUCGUCGCGGGAGGACAAGGAGACUGCUGGUCCUAGCCUAGUUCAGUACAGCAUAUGUUGUGAGCGUGCUUCAGAUCUCCGGAGAUAGCACAGUACGCUGUGUCCAGCCCAGAGGUGAAAGCCAUCCAAAGCAGAGUAACUGUGCUUUGCGUCCAAGUUGAUACCUGUGGAGAGGAAAGGAAAGAGAGAUUGAUACCUGUGGAGAGAAAAGGAGAGAGAGUGGGUAACACGAGGAGAGACCGAGG